Molecule: long non-coding RNA, 947 nt
Organism: Lactuca sativa (garden lettuce)
Lineage: Eukaryota; Viridiplantae; Streptophyta; Magnoliopsida; Asterales; Asteraceae
Source: RefSeq, a predicted model, not a curated record
UGUACAUUCGGUCCGAGCAUAAGCAACCGAAACCAAGUUCGGUCCAAUAUCGUUGAUGCAAAAACCAUGUUCGGUCCAAAAUCCAACAUCAUGACAAGCGAAACCUUAGCCAAACCGAAUCACAGGUUCACUUUCGGUUCAUCUCCUCUUUUGGUCCAAGCAUAAACACGCGAACCCAAGUUCGUUGUUCGAGGUUCGCUCCUAAUUCAUCAGCAUUACCCCAAGGCGAAUCUCCAUUCUUUCGUUCCAAGAGCUACCAACCGAACUCAAGUUCGUUCCAGGUUUGCUUCCGAAUGAAGAAAGGAGUUCCAAUUCCGAGUCCAUUCAUCAUAAUAAUUCUGAUAUCUAGUACCAAGAUCGAUAUUGGUUCAAAUUCUGAGAUCGGAAUCACCGUUGGAAACAAAAUCAACAUGAGAAUGCGAUGUGGUUUUAAAGAUUGUUGGUGAUUCUUCUUAACUUUACGAAUUCUCUCCAUGGUAUUUGUUAAAGAUUCAAGGGGCAGUGAUGAUUAUUCAAAGGGGAGUUCGUAUUUGGAAGAUUAUUUCUAAUUCUCUCGCUUUGAAGACCCCAUGUGCUGGUAAGUGUCACAAUUUAGCGGGAGAAAUGCCAAGAAGAUCGGAAAUCGUGAUCUUCAACAGUUUCAACAUCUAGGGGGAGAUUGUUGAGUAUUUGAGAUAUUGAAACUGAUAUGGCAUAUUUGGUUAUUUAGGGAAGCCUUUUUAGGGUUAAUCAUUUUAUGAUUCCCUACGGUGCAUUUACAGUAGAAGUUCUUAAUCGAGCUCUGCUAAGGCAUUGGUUUUAUAUUAGGCAUUUAUUUUAUAUUUAUGGUAGAUAUUUAUUGUUCCCUAUAAAUAAUCAUUAGGUUAUCUUUUGGUGUAAGCUUUUGACCAGAUUAGGGUUUUCUCUGUACGCUCAUCUCAUAAUCAAUACAUGAAAAACCUUUAUCA